This 446-nucleotide small RNA is filed under the name Pan troglodytes (chimpanzee). RNAcentral describes it as "retained intron". Lineage: Eukaryota; Metazoa; Chordata; Mammalia; Primates; Hominidae. The record is from RNAcentral.
ACUCCGAAGUGGCAGAAGCCAGAGAGGGAGUCGGUGUGGACGCGAGGAGCCGGGCGCUUAGAACAGAGGCUUGCACAGGUGGAGAUGUGGAAGUCUGUAGUGGGCCAUGAUGUGUCUGUUUCCGUGGAGACCCAGGGUGAUGAUUGGGACACAGAUCCUGACUUUGUGGUGAGUUUGGAAGUAGCUUUGCUUGGACAGUGCAGAGGGUGGGGUGAGGAGGGCAUCUGGGCCACUCUGUGAUCUUUGAGGAUGCUUGGAAAAGGGCCUUCUAGGACUGAGACAGCCCUCAUACUGGGACUAAUUGGUAGGACAAUUGGCUGUCACCUGUGGGGCAUGCACGAUACCUGGUAUCAGGGAUGAAAAGAGACAGGUGUGAGUUUGACAGUGUGAUUGACAGGCCAUGGCAGGCUAUACUGAAGGUGAGAAGCAGGUGAACCUGGGUCUCC